GCGAUCAAACACAGGGCAGAAAUCCUGGGUGAGGCAAUGGAGAGCUGUGCCUCACAUCUAUAUACACAUGAAUAGUGAAAUAAGAUGCUCUUUUCUGUUCUUACAAUUGUAAAUCUGACUCCAGAGGAGUCAGUGCCUCACCAGCCAUGAACCUCAUCACUGGUUAGUUUGAAAGCAGGGCCUCUUCUUGCAAAAACUGUUUUCUGUGUUUAUCUGAUCCUCACACAAUAUAAUCUCCUGACAGAUGCUUACCAUGUAAUUGGGCUGGCAUAUAAGUUUCUGUUGACCCUUUCAAGUUGCAUGUGAGCGGAGCUGCUCUGCAUUAAAAUGUGUGAAAAAUGCUACAAGGCUCACUGUCUCAGGAACUCUUGAAGGAUAUUUAUCUGCUGAAAAAGGGGCCCACUCCGACCCUGAAUGUAGAUAUAUAUACAGCAUAUAUAGACAGCUGAAAUAAUGAGCUUUUCUGGUACAGUCGUCAAAGCACGCUCUUUCUAUCAAAGAAAAAGUUCUAAGAGACUAAACUAAAAAGAAAAAAGAAUGUGAAUGUCAGCGGUCAACUGUAGGGGGCGCGCUGAUAUUGAAACGUUUGUAUAACGGAAAUAGGAAUACGUUGUACGGUCCUUAUUUCCGGUUGCGGAUCCGGCGAAUGAGAGUUGAGUUUUGGCCGUUUGGGUUUCCAGCGGGCGUUCGAGUAAAACAAACCGGGGACGGUGGCUACAUGUGAUUGAUUGAAAUGAAACCCAUCCUGCUGCAGGAUGGGAGCGAUCAAGUACAACGGAGGAGGAGACCUUCUGUUCCUUCUGCAUCGUCGCUAAAGAUCCGCUCUUUGACUGUGCCUCUCUGGAUCACAUCAAGACUUUUAAAACAGAGAGACCGGUGAACUCUGACAUUGCCAUUUCUCCAAUCACGUGCUUAUGGGACGUAGACAGGAGGCCAUGGAAGUGACCACAGCUUCCACCAGGACUGGCAAGUUUGAGGCCAGGUUCUUCCAAGCUGCGUAUGAGGAGGCGUUUGGCAGGAGUCAAAGGUCAUUUUGGUCCCAUCAACUGUGUGGCUUUCCACCCUGACAGCAAGAGGUGUAGCAGCAGACCCAUAUUGCCAUCACCUGGGCCGGUGGACUCCACCACGCCAAGAAGUCCGAAUCAGCUGGGUUCUGUUACGUGAACGACAUCGUCCUGGCCAUUUCUGAGUUGCUCAAGUAAGAAAAGAAACAUUUCAAGUUUUUUUUUUCUUUGUCACCAGAAAUGAAACUUUUGGACAGCAUUUACAGAAUCUUGUAAAAUGUUUACAGGACAUCGGGGCUGGGAAGAGCAAAUACUACGCAGUAAAUUAUCCAGUCAGAGAUGGUAUCAUCAGAGAGCAUAUGUGGACUGUUUUCUUUAUUUCAUCUUGUGUUUCAGGCCAAAAGAAGAGGUUUAAUUAAGUUGUUUCACUCCUGAUGAUGGGACCUUUGUUGAAUCCUGUGAGCACAUGUAGUUGUGAGUAUGUGAUCUGUCCAACUUUACAUGAAGUGUUAAAAUAAAGCUGUAAUGUGUAUCUAUGGACUUUGUAAAUGUAGAGUGUUUUUGCUAUUAAAAGAGUCAAAAGUUAUUCAUUGGGCAAGUAUUGUGGUUGGGUUUUUUUAACUUAGCUUUUUACUCAUAGCGUACUUUUUUAUUAAUUUACAGCGUUUUACUGCAAGUAUAAAAAAUAGAGGUUUUUAGCACAAAUUAUUCACUUGGAGUAUGUCUUGGGGCAUAAACUUUACUUUUCCCUUGUCCUCUCGUUGUAC
This is a long non-coding RNA of Cynoglossus semilaevis (tongue sole), 1771 nucleotides long. RefSeq lists it as uncharacterized. The record is from RefSeq and is a predicted model, not a curated record. The transcript has 6 exons. NCBI's taxonomy places the organism in Eukaryota, Metazoa, Chordata, Actinopteri, Pleuronectiformes, Cynoglossidae.